RNAcentral lists this ribosomal RNA (497 nucleotides) under uncultured bacterium. RNAcentral's name for it is "partial 16S ribosomal RNA". It matches the Rfam family "Bacterial small subunit ribosomal RNA", at positions 28 to 507 of the family's 1533-position model. The record is from RNAcentral.
GAUGAACGCUGGCGGCGUGCCUAAUACAUGCAAGUCGAGCGAACGGACGAGAAGCUUGCUUUUCUGAUGUUAGCGGCGGACGGGUGAGUAACACGUGGAUAACCUACCUAUAAGACUGGGAUAACUUCGGGAAACCGGAGCUAAUACCGGAUAAUAUUUUGAACCGCAUGGUUCAAAAGUGGAAGACGGUCUUGCUGUCACUUAUAGAUGGAUCCGCGCUGCAUUAGCUAGUUGGUAAGGUAACGGCUUACCAAGGCAACGAUGCAUAGCCGACCUGAGAGGGUGAUCGGCCACACUGGAACUGAGACACGGUCCAGACUCCUACGGGAGGCAGCAGUAGGGAAUCUUCCGCAAUGGGCGAAAGCCUGACGGAGCAACGCCGCGUGAGUGAUGAAGGUCUUCGGAUCGUAAAACUCUGUUAUUAGGGAAGAACAUAUGUGUAAGUAACUGUGCACAUCUUGACGGUACCUAAACAGAAAGCCACGGCUAACUACGUG